This 5369-nucleotide small RNA is filed under the name Pan troglodytes (chimpanzee). Its description in RNAcentral is "retained intron". Lineage: Eukaryota; Metazoa; Chordata; Mammalia; Primates; Hominidae. The record is from RNAcentral.
CUGUGCUGUGGGAGGUAAAGAAACCCUUUUCCAUUGAGGAUGUGGAGGUUGCACCUCCUAAGGCUUAUGAAGUUCGCAUUAAGGUGAAAUAUUUUUCCAUUUAUAUUUCAUUUUACAUUUAAAAAACUCAGAGAACAUUAAAAGUGGAAACAUCCAAAAAUCCACUAAGAGGCAUAUCUUAUAUGAUCACCCAGAAGAUAAAAUUACAUUUGUUGUCAAGGAAAGGUAUAAAUAUAAAUUUUAAAUUUUUAAAAAGUGAUCAAAGAGUACAUACAGUAUAAUUCCAGUAAAAUACAAAAGAAUUUAUGUUUGUACAGAAAAAAAUUCCAAAGGAUAUGUAUCGACUUCAAAAUCAAUUAAUAUUAGAUAUUUUCCAUGUGUUACUUUGCUAUUUCUACUUCUAUUUUUUAAAGCAUGCAUUCUUACAUAAGACUUAAAUAUUUCAGAAUCAAUUAUUUCACAGAUUAUUCUAAAUUGUUUAAUUCAAGAAGGGAAGGUAGAGAAGGGUUUUAGACUGAAUAACCUUGGGGAUAAACUGAAUCUUUCAUAUUUAGGAAUAGUAGGGAUUAGUAGCAAAACCCUCAAAUACAUUUUAGAAACACAAUUUCAGGAAUUUGGGUAUGUUAAAUUCAUCUAGUUACAAUCUUUUCUGAAUCUGAACAGCUUCUCUUUAUUCUGUAGAUGGUGGCUGUAGGAAUCUGUCGCACAGAUGACCACGUGGUUAGUGGCAACCUGGUGACCCCUCUUCCUGCGAUUUUAGGCCAUGAGGCAGCCGGCAUCGUGGAGAGUGUUGGAGAAGGGGUGACUACAGUCAAACCAGGUACAGGAUUCACACUCAGGGAACACGUGUGGUUCACCAUCCAGGAUUUCCCAGCCUGGAUAAGGAAACCAAGGCAAUGAGAGACGAAAGGGCUUGCACAAGGUCACCGCGCAGCCAGGACUUCAGGAGUUUCCUCUUUCCCUCUCUGCCUGCCUGACUCAAGCAUGUAUGCAUUCAGGCACUCAUGUAUUGUACCCUUCAACCAUUAUGUACUGAGUAUCUACUAGACGCCAGGCAGCAGGUUAGAGCCUGGAGAUAUGUGAGGAUCAAAAGAGACACAGUGCCUACCACUGUGGCAUUCAUAGUCCAGUAAUUCUGUGUUAGUGUUGGCUGAACACUGUCUUCUGUCAGGGUCCAGAUAGAAGCAGAAACGGGAGGAGGGAAAAAAAGUAAAUGUGGAAACUGUUCUGUGCUGAGUUCACAAAAUGGAGGCUACAUGGCUACGGAUGAAUAAACAUGACCUUUUCUUAGGUGACCUAUGCAGCUCCUUCACCAAUUUCCUCUUCCAACAAGGUCUCUCUUCCUGAGCAUGGAAUCAAUGAAACAGGCUAGGUGAAAGGAAAUGAAAGAAACGUAGAAGGAACCAUCCCGCCAUCAACAAUGUCUGCCUUGUUACCUUCAGCCAUGCUUAAAUGCAACUGGUUACAGAUUACUAAUUAUUUCAUCUUCAAUAUUUAUUUUACCCUAAACUUAUGUAUUAAUGUAAAUACUUUUAGAAGUAAAGGGUUAAUAACUAGGACAUUGCCAUACCAUCAUUUUCACAUAAACUUUACCUAUAAAAUGUUAAUGCACCAACCAUUUUUCUUGAUCAUGUGGAAUGUAUAGCAUAGGUGAUUAAAAAUAAAAAUUAUGUUUAAUUUUAAAAAGUUGCUUUAGCCUGUAGAUUCACCCUGCCCCCUUACCAAAUACCAAUUUAAACUGUGAACAGAAAAUAAUAAACUAUCCAAAGUAUGUUUUAGCUCUAUUUUCUUUAGUUAGAAAUAAAUUAACAACAAAAUGACAGCCUUACUUUUUACCCCUACUCCCUCCACCAUAACAGGAAAAGUAGAUAAUUCACAAAUUAUCAGCUAAAAAUAUUUGUUAAGUCCAUUCUUAUCCUAAAAGAAAGUGCCUAACUUGUUGUGAAGUGCUGAAGUUUUCAGAGAAAUUUCUGGAAUUCUUCUUUGUCCCAUUUUUGUUUUUCUCAAAAAAAAAAAAAAAAACCUAGGAUUUUUUAAAGCAUUCAUUUCAUAAAAAAGAUAAGCAUAGUCACUUUGAAAAGUCAAGAAUUGGUUAAAAAUUAUCAUAUUUAUUGUAAAUCAAUCUUUUACAAAAUACCAGAUCUUCCCAAUAUCUACAGGCACUAUAAUAGAUCACUUUCAACUAAAAUUUAUAUUUAUAUUUAUAGUAAGAAUAUUUAAGAUUUAAUUAGUUAAAGUUUAAAUAAAAAGAUGUUUGCAAAGCCUCCAGGAGAAAUCAGUACACUGUGUAAAAGUUAACUAUUAGUACAGUGGAAGUAAUUUUUUUAAUCUGUGUGGUCUCCCACAUUUGUGUUUUCUCAGUAGGAAUCCUCAGGCACUUAUAAAUUCAAACUGAAAACAAUGCUGUGGCAGGCAUUGAAAAAUGACAUAGUUAUUAUUGAACUCUAUUCCUUAAAGACUUUUAAAGAAACAUGCUUCUAAUCAAUACAUGUGAGCUUUAAGUUUUCGCUCUAUUAAUUACUGCAUAGAAAUUUAAGAAGAACUUGUUUUAUUCCUCUCCAGGUGAUAAAGUCAUCCCGCUCUUUACUCCUCAGUGUGGAAAAUGCAGAGUUUGUAAAAACCCGGAGAGCAACUACUGCUUGAAAAAUGAGUAGGUUUCUGAUGCUCUCUUUGCACAGACUUUGAGUUUGCACAUUACUUAUGCUCCUGUCUCAUGCCUUUGUGUGUCUGUGUAUUGCACUGCCCAGUCUAGGCAAUCCUCGGGGGACCCUGCAGGAUGGCACCAGGAGGUUCACCUGCAGGGGGAAGCCCAUUCACCACUUCCUUGGCACCAGCACCUUCUCCCAGUACACGGUGGUGGAUGAGAAUGCAGUGGCCAAAAUUGAUGCAGCCUCGCCCCUGGAGAAAGUCUGCCUUAUUGGCUGUGGAUUCUCGACUGGUUAUGGGUCUGCAGUUAACGUUGCCAAGGUGAGAAUGACAAUGGAUGAUAAAACUGCUUACAUGCAGACUGUCAGAAACCAAAAGGGAAGCAAUUUCUUGCAAGACUCAGAAAUUAUUUUUGUAGAUUUAAAGUGUUGAUUAUGAGUAGAAAAAUGGCCCAGAAAGAAUUGACUACACAUGCUAGAAAUUUCACCAAUUUAUUGCAGAUAAAAACUUGUUGAGUUAAGAAAAUGUAAAGAUGUCAUUUACAAUAAUUUUUCUUCUGAAUUUGCUGUUUAUGGGAUCAUGAAAUUUUAGACCUAAGAAUUCAUUUAGUAAUUCAUUCAACAAUUAGAGAGCACCUAUAAAUGCCUCAGGCACCAUAGGUUCUGCUAGGCUCUGACAGCAAAAGUAAAUGAAAUGAAGCGUUUGCCCUUGAGGAGCAGCUAGUCUGUGGAUCCUCUACUCCCAGAAAUAGGAUCAACAGUAGAGUCCAAAACCUUACCUGAUGCACCUCCAAACCAAGGCUCACCCACUCUGUGGAUUCUUAGACGGAAAGUAAUAAAGACUCAGUGAUGCAUAAUUCACUCAUUAUGGGAUUUCACUGCUAAAACUAACUCCCCUGGCAUGAACACACACAUAUACUUCAGAAGUGGUAAAUUUCAAGCAGAAAUUCUUUAAAAGCUCCUCAUCUGAGUAGGCUGAAAAUCUAGUAGUAUGCUUUAUUUUAUGAAACCGAGGUUCAGAUAUAUAAAGAUAUUUGCCCAAAGCCUCAGUGCUGAGACUAAAAUAUAUUUUUAAUAUGAAAGCUGAGACUAAAAUAUCUUUUUCAAAUCUCCUGCUGAAUCUUAGCUUGCAAUACACAAUUAUUAGUGUUUUUAAAUCACAGUCACAAGUCUUGUGUUUUUCUAAGUAAGGUAGAAAAUGGUGUUGUCCCCCAUAGUAUGAAUAAUAUUUGGUGAAUGAAUGAGUGAAUAGACACCCUUAAGGGAAUAUAAGGAUGAGAUUACUUGGGACAGGAAAGCAUGUUACCCACAAUGAAGACUGACUAUGGGAGACUAGGUUUAAUAAAUAGCCCCUAGCCAACCACAAAGAAAAAAUUCAGAAGGCAUCUUUUCCAAAUUUCUGUGACUUUAGCACUUAGCUCCUUGUUCAGUUGCCUCAUACGUGUUAGCAGAUGGUCAAAGUGAUCCUACCCAAGAACAGAAGAUGAGGAUACUCAUAACAAUAGAUUGUAUUUGUUAUUGAAAUAUAGACAAACAUUUCAUUGCUGUGUUGUUCGCUAGUGUAUUUUUAAAGCAGGGAUAUACUGGUCACAACUACCGAACAUAAAUGAACCAAUGAGUUAAUUACUGAGGGUUUAAGUGGAAUAUUUUUCAGUCUCCUGGAGUAGCCUUUUCCACUUAUUUUGUUUUCCAAAUAUUGCCGUUGUGUAUGUAUGAGUUACUGAAGCUGGCUAUCAAGGGAUUUCAGCAAUUGACAGUCCCUUCAAGAUUGUAAUCACUGCCAUCUGGAUCUCAAAGAUCAUCCAGUCCCCUGGUUCCCAGCCUGACCUUCCCAUUGGAGUCACCUGGGGACUAAGUUCCACCUGCAGAGCUUCUCAUUUAAUUGACAUGGGCUGUGACCUGGACUGUGGGAUAUUUUGUAAAGCUCCCCAGAUGAAUCUAAUAUGCAUCAGUUUGAAAACCACUCAACUAGUUCAUCCCCUUGAAUUUAAAAAUAAAGCAACUGAAGCCAAAAGAGGUUUUGAUAAACGGUUGGACAAAAGAGUCUGAGUAGUUCUUGAUAAACACCUACGCAUGGCACUUUAUAAAGCUUAGGCACUUUCUAACAAUCAUCACUUAAUCUAUUUUUGCAUUUUCUGAAAACACAGGUCACCCCAGGCUCUACCUGUGCUGUGUUUGGCCUGGGAGGGGUCGGCCUAUCUGCUGUUAUGGGCUGUAAAGCAGCUGGGGCAGCCAGAAUCAUUGCGGUGGACAUCAACAAGGACAAAUUUGCAAAGGCCAAAGAGUUGGGUGCCACUGAAUGCAUCAACCCUCAAGACUACAAGAAACCCAUCCAGGAGGUGCUAAAGGAAAUGACUGAUGGAGGUGUGGAUUUUUCGUUUGAAGUCAUCGGUCGGCUUGACACCAUGGUAUGUACCAUGACAUGCCCUGAGAUUUCUGCCUCUGCAACCUGGAAGAUGCAUUUAGGCAGCAAAAUAUAUGUUUUAUGUAUAAAGGAUAUUUUUAAUGAUGAAUGGAAAUUUCCCAUCAUCUGUUUGUUAUGUGGCUUGUUUAAUUUUUGUUAUGAGAAAUCUUCUCUUCCAUCAAUUACCCAAACCUGUCUCAAGUCAUAUUUCCUCUAGAGGAAAAGAAAAGGGUUUGUUUUUCUUAACUGAGCAAUUAUAGAUUUACUUUAUUAAUGUUUAGUUAAAAAAUAUAAGCUCAAGUAAACAUAAAUAAUACAAA